AGAUAAGAGAGGAGCAUGUCUGGUGAAGCAGAGGGCAGGGCUCACCAGGUCACCCCUCACCCCAGACCCCUCCCCUCCCCUCCUCUGCUGAAACCCCAGCACUGGGAGGAAGAGAGAUUAAAAACCACUGAGCUGGCACUUCCAGCUGUGGCAUCUGAUGAUUCGGCUAUAAAGGAGAAAAAAACCAGUCUAACGAUGUAAAGUGGCAGCCAGUAGUAGAAAGAUGGCUGGUUUGGGAUCACUGAGGAAAGCGGUACCUUCAUCUUAGUCCAACUGUGAAAUGACCUUCCCCAAGGUUUGGCUUGGGUUCCAUUCGGGGUCCUGCCAUUCACUUGCCGUGUGAUCUUGGCCAGGAGACUCUUUCUGGGCCUCAGUUUCUUCGAGAGAGCUGGGAGAGCUCAGUGGCUUUUCACACUGUGCUCAGGGGAGUCCUAAGUCCUCCCCUCCUCUGCCUCCCCACUUUAUCCAGAAGAGCCCUGUUUUCCUCUAUUUUAUACAUUGUGGGUCCCUAUAAAAUUUCCUUUGAAGACAGGCUUUUGUGGCCAACAAAAGUUUGAAAUCCACCAGACUGAAUAACCUCGUCCAUUACUUCCAGCCCUGACACUCUCUGAUUCUAAAAAUCACCAAGUUAUAAUCUAUUUGCAGGAACAGAUCAUAUUCAAAGAAGUCUCAAGAGAUGAGCCAUAUGCAAACAUUUCACCUGGAAAGUUUGGCUGCAUUCAAGUUAUUUAUGUGCAAAGUGCCUGCCAGCAAAGUGGGACAAGCCUGGGAUGUGCUUUGCUCUCUGCAGGUGGGGAAGACACUGCUGGCCCAUGGCUUGCAAACAAGAAAACCAACUGAGAGAAACACAGUCCUGCCAGGAGGGUACCCGCCCCCUGGGCUUUCUCCUGCUGGCCUGCCUGCAUCCCCCGGGCCUUGCCUGACUCUUGCUUGUCUCUCCAAGAAGAAGACAGAAGAUAGAACAUGCAGCCCAGUAACCAUUAAAAGAUGGUGAUGAGAUGCUAGAAAAUCUGCAUUGAAGGAGCUGUAGAUUUGUAAAGUUUCCAAAGGCUCAUUGGGUAAAACUUCCAGACUCAGGCCCAUCUUAGCGCCGCAGACCCAGCCCAAGGGCAGAUAAGAUUUGAGGUUGGUUCUCCCUGGCUGACGGGUAAUCCUUAGCAUCCUGCACAGACAGGCCUUCUGUUCCAGCCUAAGACUCCAGCAGAGGGGAGCAAAUGAGAGGAAAGCCAGACUAUGAAUAAAUAAAAAAUGAUUUCUAUUUCUCUUUGGAUCAUGUGGGUUUUCUUUGGGGGGGAGAGUAGAGCACAUUUUGAUUAUAUCUUCAUUAUGUCACUUAAAAAUAAGCAGAUGAAUAGACUGUAAAGCUAAAAGAGGCCCUUGAAAUCAUCUAGUUUUCACCUGCCUCCUUUUAAGGAUGAGAAAACUGAGACCCAGCGUGGGGAAGCUCCUUUUUGGGAAUCAUCCAGGUAUAGGAGCAGAAUUUAGUCUGGACCUCAGGCCACUGGCCAUUUCAUUCAUCUCCUGCUGUGGCCUUUAUUUGGUCACAGCACACUGUGGUAAGAGG
RNAcentral lists this long non-coding RNA (1564 nucleotides) under Equus asinus (donkey). Its description in RNAcentral is "lncRNA (ENSEASG00005023552.1)". The record is from RNAcentral. Lineage: Eukaryota; Metazoa; Chordata; Mammalia; Perissodactyla; Equidae.